This 133-nucleotide ribosomal RNA is filed under the name Dorosoma petenense (threadfin shad). Its description in RNAcentral is "partial 16S ribosomal RNA". Lineage: Eukaryota; Metazoa; Chordata; Actinopteri; Clupeiformes; Clupeidae. The record is from RNAcentral.
ACCAAACAGCUAGCUCAACCAAAAUGAUUAAAUUUACAACAUAAAUUAACCUAUCAAAAACUAACCCCACCAACUAAACCAUUCGACCACCCCAGUACGGGCGACAGAAAAGGACCAUGAAGCCAUAGACAAA